RNAcentral lists this ribosomal RNA (319 nucleotides) under Lysobacteraceae bacterium MS54b. RNAcentral's name for it is "bacterial SSU rRNA". It matches the Rfam family "Bacterial small subunit ribosomal RNA", at positions 90 to 412 of the family's 1533-position model. The record is from RNAcentral. Lineage: Bacteria; Pseudomonadati; Pseudomonadota; Gammaproteobacteria; Lysobacterales; Lysobacteraceae.
GGCGAGUGGCGGACGGGUGAGGAAUACAUCGGAAUCUACUUUUUCGUGGGGGAUAACGUAGGGAAACUUACGCUAAUACCGCAUACGACCUACGGGUGAAAGCAGAGGAUCUUAGGGCCUUGCGCGAUUGAAUGAGCCGAUGUCGGAUUAGCUAGUUGGCGGGGUAAAGGCCCACCAAGGCGACGAUCCGUAGCUGGUCUGAGAGGAUGAUCAGCCACACUGGAACUGAGACACGGUCCAGACUCCUACGGGAGGCAGCAGUGGGGAAUAUUGGACAAUGGGCGCAAGCCUGAUCCAGCCAUACCGCGUGGGUGAAGAA